AUGCUGCAGGAAGGAGAAGAACCGAGGCUGUUACUGCAAGCAGCCUACCUUCUGAGCUUUAAAAUACAGUAAAAUAUCAGGAGAUACCUCCCAUAUAAUGCUAUAGAAUGCUCAUUGUUGAGUGUUUUAGAAAUAGAGAAAUAUUUAGAAAAAUGGAAGAUGCAGAGGGGAUAUAAUGUAUUUGUGAAAACCAGAUUUCAAACAUACCACAUAUUGAUUUGACAACUCUCUACAUUACUCAGUACUCACCACGAGAAGACAUCUUGUAUCUACUACAUACCUCUGGCCACAGGUCACUCCCACAACAGUAGCCGUUCAAAGAUGGACAAAGCUGCCCCUUGAU
Molecule: long non-coding RNA, 343 nt
Organism: Lutra lutra (Eurasian river otter)
Lineage: Eukaryota; Metazoa; Chordata; Mammalia; Carnivora; Mustelidae
Exons: 3
Source: RefSeq, a predicted model, not a curated record